GACGAACGCUGGCGGCGUGCCUAAUACAUGCAAGUCGAGCGGACUGAAUGGGAGCUUGCUCUUGUUCGGUCAGCGGCGGACGGGUGAGUAACACGUGGGCAACCUGCCCGCAAGACCGGGAUAACUCCGGGAAACCGGAGCUAAUACCGGAUAACACCGAAGACCGCAUGGUCUUUGGUUGAAAGGCGGCGCAAGCUGCCACUUGCGGAUGGGCCCGCGGCGCAUUAGCUAGUUGGUGAGGUAACGGCUCACCAAGGCGACGAUGCGUAGCCGGCCUGAGAGGGUGACCGGCCACACUGGGACUGAGACACGGCCCAGACUCCUACGGGAGGCAGCAGUAGGGAAUCUUCCGCAAUGGGCGAAAGCCUGACGGAGCGACGCCGCGGGAGCGAGGAAGGCCUUCGGGUCGUAAAGCUCUGUUGUGAGGGACGAAGGAGCGCCGUUUGAAGAAGGCGGCGCGGUGACGGUACCUCACGAGGAGGCCCCGGCUAACUACGUG
This 499-nucleotide ribosomal RNA is filed under the name uncultured bacterium. RNAcentral describes it as "partial 16S ribosomal RNA". It matches the Rfam family "Bacterial small subunit ribosomal RNA", at positions 28 to 507 of the family's 1533-position model. The record is from RNAcentral.